RNAcentral lists this ribosomal RNA (468 nucleotides) under uncultured bacterium. RNAcentral's name for it is "partial 16S ribosomal RNA". It matches the Rfam family "Bacterial small subunit ribosomal RNA", at positions 28 to 507 of the family's 1533-position model. The record is from RNAcentral.
GACGAACGCUGGCGGCGUGCUUAACACAUGCAAGUCGAACGGAAAGGCCCGGCUUUUGUGGGGUGCUCGAGGGGCGAAGGGGUGAGUAACACGUGAGUAACCUGCCCCUGACUUUGGGAUAUCUUCAGGAAACAGGGGCUAAUACCGGAUAGGAGCUCUUGCUGCAGGGUGGGGGUUGGUAAGAUUCGGCGGUUGGGGAUGGACUAGCGGCUUAUCGGCUUGAUGGUGGGGUAGUGGCUUACCAAGGCUUGGACGGGUAGCAGGCCUGAGAGGGUGACCGGCUCCACCAGGCCUGAGAUACGACCCAGCCUCCAAUCGGACGCAGCGGUGGAGAGUAUUACACAGUACGCUGGAGCCUAGCGUGGCCCCGCAGCGCGCGGUAUGACGGGCUGCGGGUUGGGAACCACUUUCGCUUUACCCGAGACGUUAGUGACGGUACUGGGUAAAGAAGCACCGGCUAACUACGUG